CAAUUGUUUUGCCGCUAGCAGGCCCGACCAGAGAAAUCCUGCCUGGACACUGGUGGGAGUGCUCACUCUGCCUGGACACUCUCCCCAGGUUCUUUGCCUAGCUGACUCCUUUCUAUUGUGAUAGGGAUGAGGGGGAAGACUGAUGCUUCUCUUCAAUCUCCUUUGUGCCUUUGCUGUUUUGAUCUGAGAAUGCUAGGUUCCAGAUUAUUCCAUCCCAUGUUGUGUAAGCCACUGAAAUCCAAAAUGAUGGAGAAAACUAACUACUCUGGAAUACCCUCCUUUCUGCAAAGAAAAUCAUAUCCCAGGAUGAAAAGAUGGGUGAGGAAGAAAAACUAACAUACGAAGAAGCUCUCUGGCAUUCUCUAACAGACAGCCCAGGAAGUACAGAAGUAACCUGGUCCUUAACCAGCACCACGACUGUGUCAAAAUCCUCAAAGCGAAGGAAGUGGCAAGCUUCCGCUUCUGGAAUGAGAUGAGGCCAUUCGGUGUCCUGGCACUUACAGCCAGAUGCCCGGCGGCCCCUUUGACAGGCAGAGAGGCAGCUUCCCAUCUGAUGUUUGUCUUCUCAUUCUGUGUUUGAGGCUUGUUGUAGUGAUGUUAUGCCUCCAUUGUUUGACUGUGUUCACUUACAAAAUGAGAUUAAUAAAAGCAAUGCAGUCAC
Molecule: long non-coding RNA, 661 nt
Organism: Manis pentadactyla (Chinese pangolin)
Lineage: Eukaryota; Metazoa; Chordata; Mammalia; Pholidota; Manidae
Exons: 2
Source: RefSeq, a predicted model, not a curated record